AUCUGAGCAAAGGUGUCUGGUCCCUUUCCCUCGGCUGCUCCAGCCAGGCCAGGCUAAAAUGAAGAGGCUGUAAAACCCAGGUGACGCUUUGUGAUGUGUCUUCCUAUGAGCAACAGCCUCAUAAUGAAGCUUUUAAUGGUGGUUGUAAACAAGUCAAUAUCUCCAACUAUAUAUCCAAAAUGAAAGAGGCCGAAGGAACUAUGAAGGUUUUUAAUGUCCGAAUAAAUUACUCCUGCCGUGGCAAUAGCAAUGUGUGAAGCAUUUGAUUAUUUCCAGCUAUUAGUGAUGCUGGCGAAGACAGAAAUAUUCAUGCUCUGCAUUUAACUGGAAAUUAAGAGAAUGUAUCAUUUGGUGACAGGAACUUUUACAAAGGGCUGCUCGCCUUUCCAUCAGCUCCCCAACUAAUAAAUCACUGGCAGGACUUUGAGAAACUUGAUUUACAGCUCAGACCUGCUGGUGGGUGCUUGCCGAGGCUGCGUUCCUGAAAAUCCCCUGGCAGAUGGAGGUGUGCUGGGAUUCUCCUGUUCUUGGAGAGAAUGCUGGAGGCUCAUUUAAGGUUUGCUUGGAGAGCUGGAAAGAAUGACUUACGAGGGAAAGCCAGCUGUCCGCCCACCAGGCAGCAACUGCAGCCUGCUGUGCUCCCAGUACUUUUCCGCCUGGCUGCCUGCACCAUGCCACGGCUGUGGGGAGCUUUGGGGUGACACUGAACACGGGAGAUGUCUCUUAGCUGCAGGCAAGUGCCGGAAGGGGGGGUGGGAAGUUUAGGAAAAGAGUAGGAUUGAGAGGGGGAGAGGUCCUGCGAUGGACUUGAAACCUUUGUCGGUCAUGUCCAUGGGACUGCCGAGCUGUUUGGUGGGUCCCAGGGGAGGGAUGCGCCGACCGCUCCGGACCCACAGCAUAAGGAUCUUCCCCGGCUGCAAGGCUAAGAACAGAGAUGGGGAGUGUUGAACUCGCAGCUUUCUGGGGUUAGGGGGAUGCCCGCCGGGAGCAUCAGACCUUGGCUCGACUCGGUGGGCACCUGCCCGCAGCAGUGGGGCUGCUGGAGGUUCCGUUUCCACGUGGGUCCGGGGCACUUCUGCAUGCACCCGUGUCCCCAAGCAUCCGGGACCCUGCUGCAGUGGCUGAGACUUGAUGCCACCACAAGUGGGGGCUCCUCUUGUGGAAGUGGUGCACCCCUCUAUAAAUGACCUGCAAAUUAAAGAUUAUCUGGUAAUUUCUGUGUGCUGGAGCAGACACUAAAGGAGCAUUUACUAACCCACUGGUAUUGUUAUGCAAACAACUCUAGCUCAUCUCAAUAAUAAAAGGCUUUUUAAUACCUGCUCAGCUGUUGAUGAGCGUGCUGUCUGCUUUCAGCCUUGCUUGUUACGGCUGCAGAGCUACUUCUGGUCAUGCUCGUACCUCAGGGCACAAAGAAGAGGUUGAAACCUCGGAAGAGAGUGUGGCUCUGUGUGGAGAGGCCCCGGAGGAGGCCAGCGUGCGAAGGACCAUCCCACAGGGUUUCAGAGCUCAGGAUGGCCCCACUGACUUCCUUUGCAGGCACCUGGCUCGUUUGUGAUGAGCAGUGAUGAUCUGACCUUUCGUGCUCUCAUUUCUUGUGUUUUAUCACUGGGCAAAGCACUUGUACUAUAAAAGCCAGGAUUUCACAGACCCGAUAAUGUCUGCAGACUCAAAUAUAAAAUGAAGUCCUCAAAUGCAGCAAUAUAUAAAUCAUCGGUAGCACGGUCACAGCGUGGGCUCACACUUCCAGCUGAGAAAAAGUCCUCAAGGUCCUGACGGAGCAAUCAAGAUAAGAUUGCAGGGUUGAAGGCAGAUGAGGGAUGUGAUGAGCUGUAAAUCCUCUGGAGCUGUUGGGGCCAGCAGCAGCAAGAUGAGGCUGUGCCUCUCCCCAGCUUCAGUCUGGCUGUGCCCACGCAAUGUCUUCACAUUGUUUUUGGCAACUUUCCCUUACAAGCAAAGGGAAGAAAAAUGGGCAGGCUGGUCUGGAUGCAACCACCAGCCUGCAGCCCCCGAGAAUUACACCGGCAAUUGUUUCUGACUGCAGGAACCUGCUGUGGAGAAGCUAGAUGUGCUGGCUGGUUGGAGGAAACGUGCAAACCGGGAUGAACUUGAGACGCAAGGAACUUGGAUUGCACUGUACCAUUUCUGCCAUGGAUUGCUAUAGCUGAUGAGUAUUUUUUAUAACGAGUAAGCACAUUCUCAUUGCUUUUAUCUAAUGUGUGUGUGCAGGUGCAUUUAGGAACAGGUAUGAACCCUUCUGGGAAAGGUGAAGCGUUAAUGCUGGUAAAUCAAAUGACCCCUCAUUUGGAUCUGAUGUGCUGAAUCCUGCCGUAAAGUGGGAUCUGCUCUCAGGUUCCCACUGCGGGGAAGCUUGGCUGGAAGCAGAUGCUUGCACCAAUCAUGGUACAGCAGCAGUGCAUGACACUGUUUAUUCCUCCCCUCCCUUUUGCAUGAUAAAAUAACCUAUGAAAAUAAAUAACAAGAGCUUAAUAGGCACAUGGGACAGGGCCUUUGGCAAGCAAUGCCAAUCAGCUGUGCCUUGGCAAGGCUUCUCUAAUUAAAAACUGCAAAUUAUAGCUGGCUGGAGCUGAUUGCAAGGGCUGGCUGGGUUCGGGGGGUUUGCUCUGGGAGGUGAAACGUGGCUGGUUGCUCCUUCCAUUGACUCUUUCUCUCCCAUCAGGGUGCUGGGGGCUUGGAAAGCCGAGGAUUGUGCUGUCCUGGUGCCUGUCCCGGCGGAGCGGGGUGGGGUUUGGCAAGUCCAAACCAGAAAGCGGAGCCAAGCGCGUUAGCUGCUUCCUCGAGGGAAUCGCUCUGCCUCGCAGCCAGCCAACUAGGUUGGAAGUGCCAGCGCUGGCGCACGAUCCGCCGGUCGCACGUCUGCCUCCGCCCUGCUCAGAGAAGCGAGCAGCUGGUCACCUCCCGGUAGCAGAAGUGGUGUGUUCAGCUGGGCCAAGCAGCAAUUGCAUCCCUCGAGGGACGGCAAAAUAG
This is a long non-coding RNA of Tyto alba (common barn owl), 2985 nucleotides long. RefSeq lists it as uncharacterized. Lineage: Eukaryota; Metazoa; Chordata; Aves; Strigiformes; Tytonidae. The transcript is spliced from 5 exons. The record is from RefSeq and is a predicted model, not a curated record.